CAGUCGCCGCGGUAAUACGAAGGGUGCAAGCGUUACUCGGAAUUACUGGGCGUAAGGCGUGCGUAGGUGGUGGUUUAAGUCCGUUGUGAAAGCCCUGGGCUCAACCUGGGAAUUGCAGUGGAUACUGGCUCGCUAGAGUGUGUCAGAGGAUGGUGGAAUUCCCGGUGUAGCGGUGAAAUACGUAGAGAUCGGGAGGAACAUCAGUGGCGAAGGCGGCCAUCUGGGACAACACUGACGCUGAGGCACGAAAGCGUGGGGAGCAAACAGGAUUAGAUACCCCUGUAGUCCCUGUCUCUUAUAA
Molecule: ribosomal RNA, 301 nt
Filed under: uncultured bacterium
Lineage: Bacteria
Description: partial 16S ribosomal RNA
Rfam family: Bacterial small subunit ribosomal RNA
Source: RNAcentral